This is a long non-coding RNA of Cucumis sativus (cucumber), 643 nucleotides long. RefSeq lists it as uncharacterized. Lineage: Eukaryota; Viridiplantae; Streptophyta; Magnoliopsida; Cucurbitales; Cucurbitaceae. The transcript has 2 exons. The record is from RefSeq and is a predicted model, not a curated record.
CCAAAUCGUACUAAACCCUUAUUUUCCCCAAUUCUUCUGCGAAGUAUCCAUCUCCAAUUCAACCGUCUUCCGACCCCAUCACCAUCCGCCCCUACUCGUGGCCGUCUAUUCGCUCUGACGUGCCCAUCUGUUCACUUUGGUGUUGUCAUUAAAGAACUCCGAACCUUUUCAAUUCGUUCUCGUUGUCUCCGGCACUGCCAUUCGUGUCUGUCGUCACCUCCUCUGCCGGUCUUGCACCAAUAACCGAUUGAUCUACUGUAAUGAUGAAGCUACGUACCAAGCAAGUGAUUGAUAUUUGGUUAGUGACAAGACUUGUUGUAAACUACAUAAAACAUAAAUACAAUAAUCCAAUUAUCAUCAUAAUUGAGAACAGUAUAUACAUCAAAAGGCUAUAAACAUUGUAGGAUUGUGAUGAAGUUUUCAAUUGGAAGGAAAGUUGCAGUUCAUGAGACAGUGUAGCCUAUCCCGACAUGGUAAUGCCGACAAACUUACUGACGUGGUUUUCUACGUCGAGAUAGCCUAUCCCAAUAUGCAUAUAGAAAAACCAUGGAUAAAAAAAAAUUAUUACAAUCACAAAGAAUAAUUUUCUCAUGGGCUUUUACGUUUGGUUACUAAGAUUGUAAACAUAUUUGGUGUUUUGUUA